This is a non-coding RNA of Paramuricea clavata, 249 nucleotides long. NCBI's taxonomy places the organism in Eukaryota, Metazoa, Cnidaria, Anthozoa, Malacalcyonacea, Plexauridae. The record is from the annotation of a GenBank genome assembly.
GGCUUGGGGAAGGUUAUACUUUCGUUUUACAUUUAUAUACAGUGGAAUAGUAAUGUGUAAGCACUCACAUGAAUGGACCUUGGCUACGUGUUAGCCUUUUAGUAAGUAAAACGGGGAUUAUUUUCAUUAUAAAAAAAUAAGUCAGCACAAUUUAAAGUGUGAAAAUGACAGCAAGUGAAUGUCAUGUAAUAGCCUAAUAAUAUUUAAAUAAUAUUAAAAUUCAAUGAUAAUUCAAUGAAAUUUAAUUCA